Molecule: small nuclear RNA, 102 nt
Organism: Vulpes vulpes (red fox)
Lineage: Eukaryota; Metazoa; Chordata; Mammalia; Carnivora; Canidae
Source: Ensembl
AUGCUCACUCCAUCAGCACAUAUACUAAAAUUGGAAUAAUAUAGAUUAGCAUGGCCCCUGUGUGAGAAUGACAUUCCAAUUUGCUCCAAUUCCUGCUUCUUC